UGGGGAAUAUUGCACAAUGGAGGGAACUCUGAUGCAGCGACGCCGCGUGAACGAAGAAGGCUUUCGAGUCGUAAAGUUCUUUUAUAUGGGAAGAUAAUGACGGUACCAUAAGAAGAAGCCCCGGCUAACUACGUGCCAGCAGCCGCGGUAAUACGUAGGGGGCUAGCGUUGUCCGGAAUCACUGGGCGUAAAGGGUUCGCAGGCGGAAAUGCAAGUCAGGUGUAAAAGGCAGUAGCUUAACUACUGUAAGCAUUUGAAACUGCAUAUCUUGAGAAGAGUAGGGGUAAGUGGAAUUUUUAGUGUAGCGGUGAAAUGCGUAGAUAUUAAAAAGAAUACCGGUGGCGAAGGCGACUUACUGGGCUCAUUCUGACGCUGAGGAACGAAAGCGUGGGUAGCAAACAGG
This 403-nucleotide ribosomal RNA is filed under the name bacterium. RNAcentral's name for it is "partial 16S ribosomal RNA". It matches the Rfam family "Bacterial small subunit ribosomal RNA", at positions 355 to 776 of the family's 1533-position model. The record is from RNAcentral.